Sebastes umbrosus (honeycomb rockfish) is the source of this 1954-nucleotide long non-coding RNA. RefSeq lists it as uncharacterized. The transcript has 6 exons. NCBI's taxonomy places the organism in Eukaryota, Metazoa, Chordata, Actinopteri, Perciformes, Sebastidae. The record is from RefSeq and is a predicted model, not a curated record.
GAACCUUCAAUAAACCAACGUCCAAACCAAACUCCAUUAAAAAAAGUUACACUUUAACACCAUUUAACUAUCCUCGGUAAGGUCUGUGGUUUUUCUGAGGGACUGUAUUUCUUUUGUUUUCAGUUUUUCAACCAAACUCUAUUCAAAAAAGCAAAAGAGAACUGUAUGACGAACUGGCAGGGUGGAGAUGUCUGAGCAGGGUUUGUGAGGAGAUCUUGGUGAUGGUGAUGUAGCCCAGCUGGUGGCUCCUCCCUGACUCCACACCUGCAGACAAUCAUACCCAACCCAGAGAGAGAGAUCAGCUCCAAGGCAGACAGGUUAACAAGAAACAUAAAGUUCAAGAAGCAGAUGUAACACAGAUAUUAUGUCAGAUAUUAUGGAGCCAAACGUGUCGUAUUUGGAGAGGGGCUAUCAGGAACAAGUCAUUAUCAAUACUUUCCAUGGUGAAGGUUUUUGGAUCCAGGAUUUCAGUCAUUCAUUCAUUUGCUUUGCCAGGCCUUAUCUGAUGAAGGUCAUGGGGGGGGGGUCUGGAGUCAAUCCCAUCAUGCACUGCAGCAUGCAGGCAGGGUUACACCUUGCUGGGCAGGUGCCAGUGAAUCACAGGACUCAAAAACUAAACUGGAUUAUUUCACCAAGCUCUGCUUUGCUGUGCUGUGCUUUGCUGGACAAGUGAUUUGAGUCCAAUGAGCCUAUUAGCGCCUCUUCUCUUCUUCCAGCAGCAGCACCAGGUUUCCUCUCCUCUCUCCCUCUCCUCUCCUCUCUGCUGCUCCUCUUCUGCAUCCUGAGAGCCGACCAAACGCUGAGGGACACGGUGCCAUCGCUGCUUCGUGUUGUUGUUGGAUGUCGGAGACAUUGUGGACUGUUUUGUCUGAGAGAAACCCUUCAGCUGCAUGAUGGAGAAGAGGAGGAGGAAGAGGAGACAGUCACCGUGGAGCGGUGGUUAGGAUAAACCUAAAGGCCUAUAUGCUGCCGAUUUAUGACAGAACACCUGUAUUAUUAUUAUUCUCCAUGAUGGAGAAGAGGAGGAGGAAGAGGAGACAGUCACCGUGGAGCGGUGGUUAGAUGUGUCCUGGCAGAUGUGGUGUGAGCUGCAGACAGACUCUCUGCUGAUGGAAACAAACCUGCUUGUUGGUUUUGGAGGCGCACCGACCUGGUGGAGAAACACUGUUGUGCUUUUUCUUUUCCACGCUUGAAGUAAAUUGGAAGCGAAGAUUGAGUUCAUCUAGGCUGAACUAGCGGCCCUCCGGAGGGAAUAUGUUCUCCGGCAGAGCAGCUCAGAGCAGCUCAGAGCAGCUCAGACGAUGGGCUCUGAAAUGAAGAGUGUCAGGAGGACUGCGACCAGACUCCUAAUCCACCUGUCACUGAGACACACAUCCGGCUGAAACAGCAGCUCCUGCAGGUGAAGCUGCUGCGAAUCUGACUCAGACAUUGUGCCCAAUAAUAUCACUGCUGCAUGUGGUGGGGCUGCACUUUUUUACUCCCAUAUAGCUGCUCGUGACAACUCAGUGUGCCAUCUUUUCACUGUUUAAACUGAUAUAAGAGGGCUGUUUUUAAUGGGAAAUGAAUGGAUUGUUUUUUUGGGAAAUAUGUGAUAGAUAGAUAGAUAGAUAGAUAGAUAGGUAGAUAGAUGCACUUUACUGAUUGCAAAUUCUUGUGUUACAGCAGCAGGUUAUCCAGGCAAUGUACAGGAACAAUAAAUACAAUAUAUAUAGUAUACACAAUAUAAAUAAUAUAUUAGAAUAAACUACAAAUAUAUCAGACUACUACAACUAGCUAAAAAAUAUAUAAAAUAUGAACAUAGAAUAACAAUAAGAUGUUGACAGCUUGCAUAUACACCUAUACACCUACCUAUAGCUGCAACAUUAAUCGAUUAAUUGUCAAUUAAAUUAAUCGCCAACUAUUUUGAUAAUUGAUUUGAGUCAUUUUUGUAUAUGUAAAAGUCCAAAUUUUCUGA